GGUAUUUUGACUAUACAAAGGUAUUGAAAUAAGAUUUUAAUUGAAUGCUAAGAGAAUGGAAACCCAGAAAAAAACUUUUUUUAAAUUAAAAAUUGAAAUUUUUUUAAUUUGUGCAGAAACAAUUAUUAAUAUUAAGGACAAGAAGACCCUAUGAAUUUAUAAAAUUCUAUUCAAUAUAUUAUUGCUGUUGUAGAAUUUUUGGCUGGGGCGGCUAAAAAAUAUUUUAAACUUUUUAAAAGUAAAAUGAUCCAUUAUUAAUGAUUACAUGUGAAAUA
This 275-nucleotide ribosomal RNA is filed under the name Rhipicephalus turanicus. Its description in RNAcentral is "partial 16S ribosomal RNA". The record is from RNAcentral. Lineage: Eukaryota; Metazoa; Arthropoda; Arachnida; Ixodida; Ixodidae.